This 482-nucleotide ribosomal RNA is filed under the name uncultured bacterium. Its description in RNAcentral is "bacterial SSU rRNA". It matches the Rfam family "Bacterial small subunit ribosomal RNA", at positions 55 to 507 of the family's 1533-position model. The record is from RNAcentral.
AUGCAAGUCGCACGAGAACGCUUCAGCUUGCUGAAGCUAGUAAAGUGGCGCACGGGUGAGUAACGCGUGGGUAAUCUACCUCCAAAUUGGGGAUAACAUUUGCGAAAGCGAUGCUAAUACCGAAUGAUAUCUCAAAAACUUCGGUUUUUUGAGAUCAAAGGUGGCCGCUCCAUGGAAGCUACUGUUGGGAGAUGAGCCCGCGUACCAUUAGCUUGUUGGUAGGGUAAUGGCCUACCAAGGCUACGAUGGUUAGCUGGUCUGAGAGGAUGAUCAGCCACACUGGAACUGACACACGGUCCAGACUCCUACGGGAGGCAGCAGUGAGGAAUUUUGCGCAAUGGGGGAAACCCUGACGCAGCAACGCCGCGUGAGUGAUGAAGGCCUUCGGGUCGUAAAGCUCUGUCAAGUGGGAAGAACCUGCCCUGUGCUAAUAUCACCGGGCACUGACGGUACCACUGAAGGAAGCACCGGCUAACUCCGUG